This 490-nucleotide ribosomal RNA is filed under the name uncultured bacterium. Its description in RNAcentral is "partial 16S ribosomal RNA". It matches the Rfam family "Bacterial small subunit ribosomal RNA", at positions 29 to 505 of the family's 1533-position model. The record is from RNAcentral.
AGUGAACGCUGGCGGUAGGCCUAACACAUGCAAGUCGAACGGCAGCACAGUAAGAGCUUGCUCUUACGGGUGGCGAGUGGCGGACGGGUGAGGAAUACAUCGGAAUCUACUUUUUCGUGGGGGAUAACGUAGGGAAACUUACGCUAAUACCGCAUACGACCUACGGGUGAAAGCAGGGGAUCUUCGGACCUUGCGCGAUUGAAUGAGCCGAUGUCGGAUUAGCUAGUUGGCGGGGUAAAGGCCCACCAAGGCGACGAUCCGUAGCUGGUCUGAGAGGAUGAUCGGCCACACUGGAACUGAGACACGGUCCAGACUCCUACGGGAGGCAGCAGUGGGGAAUAUUGGACAAUGGGCGCAAGCCUGAUCCAGCCAUACCGCGUGGGUGAAGAAGGCCUUCGGGUUGUAAAGCCCUUUUGUUGGGAAAGAAAAGCAGCAGGUUAAUACCCCGCUGUUCUGACGGGACCCAAAGAAUAAGCACCGGCUAACUUCG